CGUUCCGCCGUCAGUCGCUGGCGAUGCGUUGCCCUGUUCGUGUGUUGUGUUUGUGUUUCCUGAUGUCAUUCGGUUCCGUCGUCGCCGUUGGGCCACCCCUUUAGACCCUUCAAUCGCUGUCCCCGCCGUGAUAUCAUUUCGCAUCAUUUGACGUCAUUGUUUAACCCUUUUUAUCCGUGCGCCUCCUCCUUCGAUAUUGACAUUUGGACAGCGACUGUAGCCGUAAAAGUUUCUAAACCGAAGAGGCGAAGUGACACGUCGUGUCCAGACAUCUUUUCCGCGGGAACGAACGUUAAUCGAGACACGAGGAAAAUGUGAAAACUCGAAAGUAUCUCUUCCGGAAACUACGUCGUUGAUGGUGUGAAUGAGGAUUAUACUUGACGACGCAAAAUGGAGACGUCACUCGUGAUUCUCGCCGAGAGAGAUUUCUCGAAGUGUCGCGAAGACGUCGAACGUGGCGGCGUCCGGUAUCUCUGAAGGGAAGAUGCACUUUACGAAGAUGCACGGGUGAUACGGGACAGGCUCCGACAAAAUGUUGAUCAAGGAAUAUCGCAUACCGUUGCCUCUCACGGUAGAGGAGUAUCGAAUCGCUCAGCUGUACAUGAUAGCGAAAAAAUCACGGGAGGAGAGCAAGGGUGCCGGUAGCGGCGUGGAGAUAAUCGAGAACGAGCCGUAUAGCAACGGGCCGGGCGGUAGCGGGCAGUACACACACAAAAUUUAUCAUGUGGGCAGUCACCUGCCGGGCUGGUUCAAGAGCCUCCUGCCCAAGUCGGCGUUGAUCGCCAAAGAGGAGGCAUGGAACGCCUAUCCGUACACCAAGACCCGCUACACGUGCCCGUUCGUGGAGAAGUUCUACGUCGAGAUAGAGACCUAUUACUUCCCGGACGACGGCCACCAGGAGAACGUCUUCAAUCUCACCGGCAGUGAUUACAGGAACAGGAUCGUGGAUCUGAUCGACAUUGUCAAGGAUCAGCCCUACGGAACCGACUACUUGAAGGAGGAGGACCCCAAGUUAUACGUGUCGGAGAAGACCGGAAGGGGCCCGCUGGAGGACACGUGGCUCGAGGAUUAUUGGGCCGAUGUGGAAGGAAAGCAACAGCCAACGCCGUCGGGAAAGUCACUAAUGUGCGCGUACAAGCUAUGCCGAGUAGAGUUCCGUUAUUGGGGCAUGCAAACGAAAUUAGAAAAGUUCAUACACGACGUAGCUUUGCGGAAGACGAUGGUGCGGGCGCACAGGCAGGCCUGGGCCUGGCAGGAUGAGUGGAACGGUCUGACGAUGGAGGACAUCAGGGAGAUCGAGCGGCAGACGCAACUCGCGCUGCAACGGAAGAUGGGCCUGGGUGAUUCUGCGGAAGAUGAGCUCGAGGACGAGGGUCGAAAGGCGAACGCGACAACGACGACGGCAACCACAACGGCGACGGUGACGCCGGCGAAUACAACGAUGGCGGAGUCGGCGGUAGCCAAGACGCUGGCGGCCACCCUGGGCAGCAUCGAGAAAAACGAAGAGAUGCAGAGUCCGCUUUCCGUCAGGAAACCAUCUGACAUUCCCAUCAUCAACACGGCAGGCAGCUCCGAGGGUGAGAUCAGUCCUGAGGACUCGCCGGUCGAUCUGAAUGAGAUCAAAAAUGUGACCGCCGAUGAAAAGGAUGCCAAGAAGGACUGGAUGAAAAACAACAUGCCCUUGCACUCGCCAAAUUCGAAUAAGAAUUUCGACAUACAGAUCGCGAAUUGGAGGAUGGAGAGUAUCGUCAGGGAGUCCGAAUCCGGCAGUGAUGACGAGUUCUUCGAUUGUCAGGCUGGGUUCAUUAUACCUGUUAUACGCAAAGAGGACUUUGAAGAUAGCUCUUCAUUAGCUAAAUGGAGUUCUUUGGAUCUUCUAGCAGAAGGGGAGGACACGACUAUGCGGACACCGUCUGCGGCAAACGAGCAAGAAGAUACAAUAUUUUCACCAUCAUAUCUGCAGCGUAUUACUAACGAACGAAGCAGUAAAAGAUUGCAGAUCAAUACCUCAGCGAGCAUCGACGUGUCGUGUCCAACAUCCCCUCAACAUUCUCCUACGCAUCAACCAUGCAAAAUUACUGUUUUAAUUAUCGUGGUACAUGGUGGCAGUGUUUUAGACGCGAAUGUCGAUUUAACAGCGAAAAAGUCAGACAUAACGACAUUUCGCGGAGCUUUUGAAUCCGUUAUGAGACAACAUUAUCCUAGCAUGGUCGGUCACAUAUCGGUUAAAUUUGUCGCUUGUCCUUCGAUUUGUACUGAGGCUUUAGGAAUUUUGUCAAGUUUGAGUCCAUACAGCUUUGACAUGUCGCCUUCAUGCAUGGACGUUCCACAAGUGACGCACGAUACCAUUCCGAUCGGUGCAAUUCCGUUACUAGCGAGUUCGAAUUCCGAAUAUCAGGAUGCGGUAUCGCGCGUGGUGAUGAGCGCCAAUCAAGUGUAUCACGACUUUAUUAAGAGCAACGAGGGUAAAGGGUUUAACGGACAGAUCUGUUUUGUGGGAGACUCGGUUGGGUCAAUCUUGACCUACGACGCCUUGUGCAGAGCGACACAGCACUCGAGACACAGCAGCGAGAAUAGUAUUCUAGAGGGUAGCGGCCAGCAGGGUAAUGACAAUGGCGGAAACGCCGAAGAUGGCAAGCAUCUGUCCGCGCCAUCUCCUAGAAGAAGGUCUUCCGGUACGAGUGACAACAAGCUUGACUUUGAGGUGGGUGACUUUUUUACAUUUGGCAGUCCGCUUGCGUUAGUCCUCGCUUACAGGAAGAUCGCCAGCGACAAGAAUAGUUUCAUUCCCAGACCGUUAGUCAAUCAAGUGUACAAUCUGUUUCAUCCCACGGAUCCCGUGGCCGUGAGAUUGGAACCUUUGAUCUCGGCGAGGUUUUCGUUGAUCCCGCCGGUUAAUAUUGCCCGAUAUCAAAAGUACCCGCUCGGCAACGGCCAGCCUUAUCAUUUGCUGGAAACUAUCCAGACUAAUCCGCAAUUAUUCGCUGAUGGAUUGAAUGUUCCCAAUCUUCAAGUGUCGCAUUUAAGAAGAUUAUCCGAUAUAUCACUUCAAAGUACAAUGUCAGGCAUUAUCGACAAUGUUCCUUUACAGGCAGUGUCUGCCCUGAUGCAAAAAUGGUGGGGUACUAAGAGACUAGAUUAUGCGCUCUACUGUCCAGAGGGUCUUGCUAAUUUUCCUACAAACGCCUUGCCUCAUCUCUUCCAUGCUAGUUAUUGGGAAUCUUCGGACGUGAUUGCGUUCAUUUUGAGACAAUUGGGCAGAUUUGAUUUGCCACUACUCGGCAACGAGGAGAAAGAUCUCACUUGCUUCCGUCCAGGUCAACCCAGAGAAAAAUGGAAUAAAAAGCGUACCUCCGUUAAACUUAAGAAUGUUGCUGCCAAUCACAGAGCGAAUGAUGUCAUCGUGAGGGAAGGUGCACCACAAGUAUUAGUUGCUAGGUUUAUGUACAGUCCUAUUGAUAUGAUAACUUUAACAGGUGAGAAAGUUGAUAUCCAUAUUAUGAAAAACGCACCGGCCGGUGAAUGGACGUAUCUUUCUACCGAGGUAACUGAUAAGAAUGGUAGAAUAAUUUACGAAAUACCAAGUGACAAAGCGCUAGGCUAUGGACUUUAUCCGAUAAAGAUGGUUGUAAGGGGAGAUCAUACAUCUGUAGACUUUUUCAUGGCUGUGAUACCGCCGAAAACUGAAUGUGUGGUUUUUAGCAUAGACGGCUCUUUUGCCGCUAGUAGGUCAGUGAGUGGUAAAGAUCCGAAAGUUUGGGCUGGUGCCGUUGACGUUGUAAGGCAUUGGCAAGAGUUGGGUUAUCUCAUUAUUUAUAUUACCGCGAGACCAGAUAUGCAACAGCAGACAGUGGUUUCUUGGUUGUCGCAGCAUAAUUUUCCUCAUGGUCUCGUCUCAUUUGCCGAUGGUCUGUCGAGGGAUCCGCUCGCCCACAAAGCUGCCUACUUGAAUAAGCUUGUGAAGGAGCAUGGUAUGAUAAUUCAUCAGGCGUACGGCAGCGAGAAGGACAUUAAUGUGUACACGGCGAUAAGUCUCAAACCGAGCCAGAUCUUCAUCAUCGGCAAAGUAUCCAAGAAGCAUCAAGCUAUGGCGACAAUACUGUAUGACGGAUAUGCCGCUCAUUUGAGCAUGCUGCAGGCGCAUGGGGGUUCGCGGCCUGCUCAAGGCAACGCACGCAUGGUAAUCCCCAGAGGUCAAUUUGGUUUACCAGGACAGAAUUCUUCCCUGCGUCGACGAAGGUGACGGAAUCGCGGGACAAACGAUAGUGUACGCUACCGAGAAAACGAGUGUCAAGAAUUAAAAAAAAGAUUAAAUGACUCUUUUAGGACGGCGAAGCGUGCAAUCUCGCAACCACCCCUAGGCAAGGCACCCUUCCCGUUG
Molecule: unclassified non-coding RNA, 4381 nt
Filed under: Pogonomyrmex barbatus (red harvester ant)
Lineage: Eukaryota; Metazoa; Arthropoda; Insecta; Hymenoptera; Formicidae
Description: protein retinal degeneration B, transcript variant X6
Source: RNAcentral